Molecule: long non-coding RNA, 1713 nt
Filed under: Canis lupus familiaris (dog)
Lineage: Eukaryota; Metazoa; Chordata; Mammalia; Carnivora; Canidae
Description: lncRNA (ENSCAFG00845028185.1)
Source: RNAcentral
ACCGCUGAGCCCCGGGCUGGCCUCUUUCCGUACUCUAAGGUGAUCUGUACAGUUCGUUCCCCCCAUCGACACCUGCCCGCAUUUCAGCGAGCGGUCUUCGGCGGCUUCUGGAAGCCCGCACUCUCCCCCGCGGCCCUUCCCGCCCGCACCUCCAAAGACUCCCGCCCCCGCUUCCCUCCGUCCUGCGGCGGCCGAGCAGGUGGUAGGAGGCCGCGAGGCCGGAGCUUUCCCAGGGUCCCGGAAGUCUCGGCCGCCGCAGGCUCGGGAACGCCCCGGGGCCCCGCUAGGCGGCUCCGUGCCUCCCCGCCCAAGGCCUCCGGUCCCGGCGCGGACGCAGCCCCAGGGAGGCCGGCCGUCGCCUCCCCGCCCGAGCUGACCCGCGGAGCGCGCUCCCGUGCUUCCCGGUGGCUGGAGUCCUCGCGCGCCGCUGCUCCCGCGGGGUCUUUGCUCGGCGAGCGGGCUUCCUUCCAGGCCUCAGGCUCGCUCUGCGCCCGCGUGAGGUCCCAACUGUCGGGUCCCGUCCGCCUCGCUUCGCGAGCCGGCAAAGUGCGUCCCUUCUCGCUUGCCUUAUGCCGGGCGAGGCGGGGACCGCACUACAGUGCAGCGGGCCGGAGGGGGGGACGCUCCCGGGCGGCGCUCUGCUUUCCAGCGGCGACGCCAGCUCCCGAGGAAACCGCCGUUCGCUCUGCCGCGGAGCAGCAGUAUUCGGUCCCGGGAGCCCGCGCAGGAGCGGGGAAGGGUCACCGCCUCGAGCCAGGCAGCGGGCGCGCCCCUCUCCUCCCCCUCGCUUCCGCUUCGUCGGAACGGCCCGGAGCUGCGAGCGCGCCGGCCGCGGCGGAGCUUCCCCGGCGCUUGACAGCUCGGCGCGAGCACCGCGGGCCUGGAGCCCCGGCUCGGGGGCGGGGCGAGCGCGCGCGGGGCGGGGCGGGGCGGGGCGGGGCGGGGCGAGCGCGGGCCGGGGCAGAGGAGCGAGCGCGCGAGCGGAGCCGAGCGGCGCCGAGCGGAGCCGGGAGGUGCUGGGGAGAGGCAGGCAGAGCCCGCCGGCCGCCUGCGGCUCCGCGCGGAUCGUGCUGCGUCGCCGGGCGCCGCGAACCCCCGCCUCUGCCCGGGCUCCCGCAAAACUUUUAUUCUCUGGGGCUCCUCGGGGUGUCUGCAGGCAUCGGAGCGCUCGGCCGGCGCUGCGCUGCGCUCCGCCGCCGCGGCCACCGAGGGGACGUGCAUGCCUCGCCCGCUGGGCUCCCGCGCCCCGCGCCUCCUCACCUGCUGCUGAUCGCUCCCCGGGCGGCGAGGGGGUACCGCGGAGGGGCCGCCCCCCGCCCCGAAUCCUCCCGCCCACCGCGGUGGACUCGCCCGGCGCAACUUCAACUUGAAUCCUCCCGCCCGGCUCGCGGCCACCGCUGCCGUCUGGGCCGCCGCCUCACAAAGGGGCGCGGGGAGGGGAGGCGGCGCGGUCCGCGGGCUCGGGCGCCGGUGCGCAGGGCGCGGGCCUCCCCGCCGCCGAGGCCGGAGACAAAAGGGAAACUGCCUGCGUUCGCGGUGCGGGCCGGGAGCCGCCUGCUCGCCCGCCUGCCGCCCGGCUCGGCGAGUCUCCUCCCCCCGCCCUCGGCCGCUGCUCCGCCUCCCUCCCCGCGGGCCGGCCCCGCCGCGCAGGGCUCCGGGACCCGGCGAGCCUUCGGGGCCCCCGCGCGUCGCUGCUGGUGGUUGGGGCUGUAG